RNAcentral lists this ribosomal RNA (278 nucleotides) under uncultured Akkermansia sp. RNAcentral describes it as "partial 16S ribosomal RNA". It matches the Rfam family "Bacterial small subunit ribosomal RNA", at positions 511 to 788 of the family's 1533-position model. Lineage: Bacteria; Pseudomonadati; Verrucomicrobiota; Verrucomicrobiia; Verrucomicrobiales; Akkermansiaceae. The record is from RNAcentral.
GCAGCCGCGGUAAUACGGAGGAUCCGAGCGUUAUCCGGAUUUAUUGGGUUUAAAGGGUGCGUAGGCGGCCUGGUAAGUUAGAGGUGAAAUCCCAUCGCUCAACGAUGGACGUGCCUCUGAUACUGUUGGGCUAGCGAGAGAGUGCUGUGGGCGGAAUGUGUAGUGUAGCGGUGAAAUGCUUAGAGAUUACACAGAACACCGAUUGCGAAAGCAGCUCACAAACUCUUUUCGGACGCUGAGGCACGAAAGCGUGGGGAGCAAACAGGAUUAGAUACCCC